RNAcentral lists this ribosomal RNA (497 nucleotides) under uncultured bacterium. Its description in RNAcentral is "partial 16S ribosomal RNA". It matches the Rfam family "Bacterial small subunit ribosomal RNA", at positions 28 to 507 of the family's 1533-position model. The record is from RNAcentral.
GAUGAACGCUGGCGGCGUGCCUAAUACAUGCAAGUCGAGCGAACAGACGAGGAGCUUGCUCCUCUGACGUUAGCGGCGGACGGGUGAGUAACACGUGGAUAACCUACCUAUAAGACUUGGAUAACUUCGGGAAACCGGAGCUAAUACCGGAUAAUAUAUUGAACCGCAUGGUUCAAUAGUGAAAGACGGUUUUGCUGUCACUUAUAGAUUGAUCCGCGCCGCAUUAGCUAGUUGGUAAGGUAACGGCUUACCAAGGCAACGAUGCGUAGCCGACCUGAGAGGGUGAUCGGCCACACGGGAACUGAGACACGGUCCAGGCGCCUACGGGAGGCAGCAGUAGGGAAUCUUCCGCAAUGGGCGAAAGCUUGACGGAGCAACGCCGCGUGAGUGAUGAAGGUCUUCGGAUCGUAAAGCUCUGUUAUUAGGGAAGAACAAAUGUGGAAGUAACUAUGCACGUCUUGACGGUACCUAAUCAGAAAGCCACGGCUAACUACGUG